CUGGUCGAGUCGGUCUGCGCGGAAGAUUUAACGGGGCUAAGCAGUGAACCGAAGCUUGGGGUGCAUAAAACUUGUUUUAUGCGCGGUAGAGGAGCGUUCCGUAAGCCUGCGAAGGUGGAUUGAGAAGUCUGCUGGAGGUAUCGGAAGUGCGAAUGCUGACAUGAGUAACGAUAAUGCGGGUGAAAAGCCCGCACGCCGAAAGCCCAAGGUUUCCUUGCGCAACGUUAAUCGACGCAGGGUUAGUCGGUCCCUAAGGCGAGGGCGAAAGCCGUAGUCGAUGGGAAGCAGGUUAAUAUUCCUGCACCUCGCGUGAGUGCGAUGGAGGGACGGAGAAGGUUAGGUGUACCGGGCGUUGGUUGUCCCGGGGAAAGGCGGUAGGUUUGGAUCUUUGGCAAAUCCGGGAUCCUUUAAGACCGAGCACCGAGACGAGCCUUUAUGGCGAAGUCACUGAUACCACGCUUCCAGGAAAAGCUCCUAAGCUUCAGCUCACGAAGACCGUACCGUAAACCGACACAGGUGGGUAGGAUGAGAAUUCUCAGGCGCUUGAGAGAACUCGGGUGAAGGAACUAGGCAACAUGGCACCGUAACUUCGGGAGAAGGUGCACCCUUUUUGGUGGCUCAUGCGAGCUAUAGCUGAAGAGGGUCGCAGAAACCAGGCCGCUGCGACUGUUUAUCAAAAACACAGCACUCUGCAAACACGAAAGUGGACGUAUAGGGUGUGACGCCUGCCCGGUGCUGGAAGGUUAAUUGAUGGGGUCAGCCGCAAGGCGAAGCUCUUGAUCGAAGCCCCAGUAAACGGCGGCCGUAACUAUAACGGUCCUAAGGUAGCGAAAUUCCUUGUCGGGUAAGUUCCGACCUGCACGAAUGGCGUAACGACAGCGGCGCUGUCUCCACCCGAGACUCAGUGAAAUUGAAAUCGCUGUGAAGAUGCAGCGUUCCCGUGGCAAGACGGAAAGACCCCGUGAACCUUUACUAUAGCUUUACACUGAACGUUGAGUUCGUCUGUGUAGGAUAGGUGGGAGGCUAUGAAACUGUGGCGCUAGCUGCAGUGGAGCCAUCCUUGAAAUACCACCCUGUCGUGCUUGACGUUCUAACCUAGAUCCGUUAUCCGGAUCAGGGACCGUGUAUGGUGGGUAGUUUGACUGGGGCGGUCUCCUCCUAAAGAGUAACGGAGGAGCACGAAGGUACGCUCAGCGCGGUCGGACAUCGCGCACUGUGUGCAAAGGCAUAAGCGUGCUUGACUGCAAGAUCGACGGAUCAAGCAGGUACGAAAGUAGGUCUUAGUGAUCCGGUGGUUCUGUAUGGAAGGGCCAUCGCUCAACGGAUAAAAGGUACUCCGGGGAUAACAGGCUGAUACCGCCCAAGAGUUCAUAUCGACGGCGGUGUUUGGCACCUCGAUGUCGGCUCAUCACAUCCUGGGGCUGUAGUCGGUCCCAAGGGUAUGGCUGUUCGCCAUUUAAAGUGGUACGCGAGCUGGGUUCAGAACGUCGUGAGACAGUUCGGUCCCUAUCUGCCAUGGGCGUUGGAAGUUUGAGAGGGGCUGCUCCUAGUACGAGAGGACCGGAGUGGACGAACCUCUGGUGUUCCGGUUGUCACGCCAGUGGCAUUGCCGGGUAGCUAUGUUCGGAAGCGAUAACCGCUGAAAGCAUCUAAGCGGGAAGCGCGCCUCAAGAUGAGACUUCCCGGGGCACAAGCCCCCUAAAGGAACCAUAUAGACUAUGUGGUUGAUAGGUCAGGUGUGUAAGUACAGCAAUGUAUUGAGCUAACUGAUACUAAUGAUCCGUGCGGCUUGACCAUAUAACCUCA
RNAcentral lists this ribosomal RNA (1806 nucleotides) under Xanthomonas arboricola. RNAcentral describes it as "bacterial LSU rRNA". It matches the Rfam family "Bacterial large subunit ribosomal RNA", at positions 1145 to 2925 of the family's 2925-position model. Lineage: Bacteria; Pseudomonadati; Pseudomonadota; Gammaproteobacteria; Lysobacterales; Lysobacteraceae. The record is from RNAcentral.